RNAcentral lists this ribosomal RNA (263 nucleotides) under uncultured bacterium. Its description in RNAcentral is "partial 16S ribosomal RNA". It matches the Rfam family "Bacterial small subunit ribosomal RNA", at positions 1238 to 1500 of the family's 1533-position model. The record is from RNAcentral.
UACAGAGGGCAGCUACCCAGCAAUGGGAUGCGAAUCUCGAAAGCCUGUCUCAGUUCGGAUUGGAGGCUGAAACCCGCCUCCAUGAAGUUGGAUUCGCUAGUAAUCGCGCAUCAGCCAUGGCGCGGUGAAUACGUUCCCGGGCCUUGUACACACCGCCCGUCACACCAUGGGAGUCGGUAACACCCGAAGUCGGUAGCCUAACCGUAAGGAGGGCGCCGCCGAAGGUGGGAUUGAUGACUGGGGUGAAGUCGUAACAAGGUACC